RNAcentral lists this ribosomal RNA (429 nucleotides) under Euprymna morsei. RNAcentral describes it as "partial 12S rRNA". The record is from RNAcentral. Lineage: Eukaryota; Metazoa; Mollusca; Cephalopoda; Sepiida; Sepiolidae.
CUAUUAUUCUUUAUUUUAAAAAUUUUAUUACUUAAGUAGUAUGAACAUAAUUUAGGUAGUGUAAAAAUUGAUUAUUUUUUGUGUUUGAAACUUAAAAGGCUUGGCGGUGUUAUAUAUCCUUCCAGAGGAGUUUGCUUUAUUAAUUUGAUAAUCCUCAAUUUAUACUUACUUUUCUUUGAAUGAUUAUUUAUAUAAUUAAUCAGUUUGUAUAUUGCUGUCAUCAGUUUAUUUUGUAAGAAUUAUGUAAGAGACUUAAUAAUUGAUAGGUUAUUAUGUCAAGUCAAAAUGCAGCUAAUAAAAAAGGUUUAUAAAGUGAACUACAGUUUAUGAUUUUUAAUCGGAUUAAGUCAUGUAAUUGACUUUUGAAGUUGGAUUUGGUAGUAAUAAUUAUAAUUAGUAGGUUUAUAUGAAUUAGGUUUUAUAAUGCGU